RNAcentral lists this ribosomal RNA (161 nucleotides) under uncultured bacterium. RNAcentral's name for it is "partial 16S ribosomal RNA". It matches the Rfam family "Bacterial small subunit ribosomal RNA", at positions 358 to 511 of the family's 1533-position model. The record is from RNAcentral.
GGAAUCUUCCACAAUGGGCGCAAGCCUGAUGGAGCAACACCGUGUGAGUGAAGAAGGGUUUCGGCUCGUAAAGCUCUGUUGUUAAAGAAGAACAUAUCUGAGAGUAACUGUUCAGGUAUUGACGGUAUUUAACCAGAAAGCCACGGCUAACUACGUGCCAA